Molecule: ribosomal RNA, 250 nt
Filed under: uncultured bacterium
Lineage: Bacteria
Description: partial 16S ribosomal RNA
Rfam family: Bacterial small subunit ribosomal RNA
Source: RNAcentral
UACGUAGGUGGCAAGCGUUGUCCGGAAUUAUUGGGCGUAAAGCGCGCGCAGGCGGGAAUAUCAGUCUGUCUUAAAAGUGCGGUGCUUAACGCCGUGAGGGGACAGAAACUAUAUUUCUUGAGUGCAGGAGAGGACAGUGGAAUUCCCAGUGUAGCGGUGAAAUGCGUAGAUAUUGGGAGGAACACCAGUGGCGAAGGCGACUGUCUGGACUGUGUCUGACGCUGAGGCGCGAAAGCCAGGGUAGUGAACG